RNAcentral lists this ribosomal RNA (932 nucleotides) under uncultured bacterium. RNAcentral describes it as "bacterial SSU rRNA". It matches the Rfam family "Bacterial small subunit ribosomal RNA", at positions 12 to 921 of the family's 1533-position model. The record is from RNAcentral.
UUUGAUUCUGGCUCAGAACGAACGCUGGCGGCGUGGAUAAGACAUGCAAGUGGGACGCUAAUAGGCAGGUAGCAAUAUUUGUCUGUUGGAGUCGCGUAAGGGUGCGUAACACGUGGGUAAUUUGCCGUGAAGCUCGGAAUAACCUGCCGAAAGGCAUGCUAAUACCGAAUGUGUCUGCAGUUAGGAUCUAUUUGCAGACGAAGCCGGGGAUCGUAAGACCUGGCACUUCGCGAUAAGCCCGCGGCCUAUCAGCUAGUUGGUGAGGUAAUAGCUCACCAAGGCUAAGACGGGUAGCUGGUCUUAGAGGACGACCAGCCACACUGGAACUGAGACACGGUCCAGACACCUACGGGUGGCAGCAGUCGAGAAUUUUUCACAAUGGGCGAAAGCCUGAUGGAGCGACGCCGCGUGGGGGAUGAAUGGCUUCGGCCCGUAAACCCCUGUCAUUCGGGAUCAAAUCUGCCAGCCUAAUACGCUGGUAGUUGAUAGUACUGAAAGAGGAAGGGACGGCUAACUCUGUGCCAGCAGCCGCGGUAAUACAGAGGUCCCAAGCGUUGUUCGGAUUUACUGGGCGUAAAGGGCGCGUAGGUUGCGAGCUAAGUCUAAUGUGAAAGCUCUGAGCUUAACUCAGAAAUGGCAUUGGAAACUAGUUUGCUAGAGGAUUGAAAGGGAGAUUGGAAUGCUCGGUGUAGCAGUGAAAUGCGUAGAUAUCGAGCGGAACACCAGUGGCGAAAGCGAAUCUCUGGGCAAUUCCUGACACUGAGGCGCGAAAGCUAGGGGAGCAAACGGGAUUAGAUACCCCGGUAGUCCUAGCUGUAAACGGUGCACGCUUGCCGUAGUGGAAUCGACCCCACCUGUGGCGAAGCUAACGCGUUAAGCGUGCCGCUGGAGUACGGUCGCAAGAAUUAAAACUCAAGAAAUUGACGGGGGCC